AGUGAACGCUGGCGGUAGGCCUAACACAUGCAAGUCGAACGGCAGCACAGUAAGAGCUUGCUCUUACGGGUGGCGAGUGGCGGACGGGUGAGGAAUACAUCGGAAUCUACUUUUUCGUGGGGGAUAACGUAGGGAAACUUACGCUAAUACCGCAUACGACCUACGGGUGAAAGCAGGGGAUCUUCGGACCUUGCGCGAUUGAAUGAGCCGAUGUCGGAUUAGCUAGUUGGCGGGGUAAAGGCCCACCAAGGCGACGAUCCGUAGCUGGUCUGAGAGGAUGAUCAGCCACACUGGAACUGAGACACGGUCCAGACUCCUACGGGAGGCAGCAGUGGGGAAUAUUGGACAAUGGGCGCAAGCCUGAUCCAGCCAUACCACGUGGGUGAAGAAGGCCUUCGGGUUGUAAAGCCCUUUUGUUGGGAAAGAAAAGCAGCAGGAUAAUACCCCGCUGUUCUGACGGUACCCAAAGAAUAAGCACCGGCUAACUUCGUG
Molecule: ribosomal RNA, 492 nt
Filed under: uncultured bacterium
Lineage: Bacteria
Description: partial 16S ribosomal RNA
Rfam family: Bacterial small subunit ribosomal RNA
Source: RNAcentral